AGGGGUUGUGUGUUGUCGCUCUCGGCAAACAAACGGUUUUCGUAUUGCUCUUGAGAUAUCUGUGGGCUCCUUGCUGUGGUGUGGCAUGCUGACAUUCCCUCCACACCCACACUGGCAGCCAAUGUGCCAAUUAGU
This 135-nucleotide long non-coding RNA is filed under the name Oryzias sinensis (Chinese medaka). Its description in RNAcentral is "lncRNA (ENSOSIG00000008393.1)". Lineage: Eukaryota; Metazoa; Chordata; Actinopteri; Beloniformes; Adrianichthyidae. The record is from RNAcentral.